This 1479-nucleotide ribosomal RNA is filed under the name Afrarchaea bergae. Its description in RNAcentral is "eukaryotic LSU rRNA". It matches the Rfam family "Eukaryotic large subunit ribosomal RNA", at positions 79 to 1139 of the family's 3401-position model. The record is from RNAcentral. Lineage: Eukaryota; Metazoa; Arthropoda; Arachnida; Araneae; Archaeidae.
CCAAGUAGCGGCGAGCGAACCGGGAAGAGUCCAGCGCCGAAUCCGGGUGUGCCUGCGCGCGUGCCUGGAAAUGUGGCGUAUGGGAGGCUGCGUGCCGCCGGCGAAGUCCGAGGAGCAAGUCCCCUUGAUUGGGGCGAGCGUAAUGCGACCAAAGCGGGUGCGAGUCCCGUAGCCCUCGGUAACUGUCUGGCGGAGUGCGGUCUCUCGUGAGUCGGGUUGCUUGAGAGUGCAGCCCUAAGAAAGGUGGUAAACUCCAUCUAAGACUAAAUACGACCUCGAGACCGAUAGCGAACAAGUACCGUGAGGGAAAGUUGCAAAGAACUUUGAAGAGAGAGUUCAAGAGUACGUGAAACUGUUCAGAGGAAAACGGGUGGGCGUUCGAACCCCCCCUCGGCGGUUGCCUGGAUUCAGUCCGUCGCUUUUUCCGGAGAGUUAUCGUUCGUCGGUCGCGGCGUCGGCGUUCCGUUUCGGCGGGCCCGACGAGUCUGCGGCGGCGGUUGCGGUUUUCUUCGAGGGGAAUCGCGGCGGAUGCAUUUCCGUGGUUUUCCGCCCGAGUACAGGGCGCUGCGACCGAUCGGGCACCAAAAGAGUGCCGGCCCCGGGCCGAGUAAGCGGUUAGGAGCGCCGUUCGCGAGUGCGGGUUCGCGCCCGCACGAGCGUCGGUUCGUUCCUCCGGCUCGGCGUUAACCGCGGUCGGUCGUCCGAUCGGUGUGUGCAGAAGUGCAGUGGUGUGCGGUGCUCUCGCUUAAAGCCGAGUCGGGCCGAGGUCGAGCGGUUUCCUUUGGUUUAGCAGUCGUCUCUCGGGACGACGGUUUGAAAAGGCUUUCCAUCGGUGAAUCCUGGCGCCUCGGCUCUGAGUCUCGGUGAGUUGUCGCCCAACCAUCGCGGCGAGCGUCUCGGUGUCCCACCCGACCCNNNNNNNNNNNNNGACCAAGGAGUCUAACCCGUAUGCGAGUCGUAGGGUCUUGCGUAGGCCCCGUGGCGAAGCGAAAGCAAAGUCGAGACAUUUGGAACUUUUCGGAGUUCCGUUUAGCAUCGGCGGCUCGGCGGACGUUCGGGUCCAAACGGCCCGUCCGGCGUUAAAAACCGGAUGGCGAGUCGUGCCCGGCUCGUCGGAGUCUGAGCAUACGAGUUGGUACCCGAAAGAUGGUGAACUAUGCCCCGCCAGGGCGAAGUCGGAGGAAACUCCGGUGGAGGCCCGAAGCGGUUCUGACGUGCAAAUCGAUCGUCGGAGCGAGGUAUAGGGGCGAAAGACCAAUCGAACCAUCUAGUAGCUGGUUCCCUCCGAAGUUUCCCUCAGGAUAGCUGGCAUUCGUGAAACUCAGUCUCUCCUCGUAGAGAGAAUGAAUAGAGGCCCUGGGGCCCUAGACGACCUCAACCUAUUAUCAAACUGCUACGAGGUGCGUCGGUGGUUUCGGCUUGCUGACUUGAAGUCGACCACGUUGCUGGGAUGUGUGAGUGCCGUGUGGGCCACUUUUG